UGGGGAAUUUUGGACAAUGGGCGAAAGCCUGAUCCAGCAAUGCCGCGUGUGUGAAGAAGGCCUUCGGGUUGUAAAGCACUUUUGUCCGGAAAGAAAUCCUUGGCUCUAAUACAGUCGGGGGAUGACGGUACCGGAAGAAUAAGCACCGGCUAACUACGUGCCAGCAGCCGCGGUAAUACGUAGGGUGCAAGCGUUAAUCGGAAUUACUGGGCGUAAAGCGUGCGCAGGCGGUUUGCUAAGACCGAUGUGAAAUCCCCGGGCUCAACCUGGGAACUGCAUUGGUGACUGGCAGGCUAGAGUAUGGCAGAGGGGGGUAGAAUUCCACGUGUAGCAGUGAAAUGCGUAGAGAUGUGGAGGAAUACCGAUGGCGAAGGCAGCCCCCUGGGCCAAUACUGACGCUCAUGCACGAAAGCGUGGGGGAGCAAACAGGAUUAGAUACCCUGGUAGUCCACGCCCUAAACGAUGUCAACUAGUUGUUGGGGAUUCAUUUCCUUAGUACGUAGCUAACGCGUGAAGUUGACCGCCUGGGGAGUACGGUCGCAAGAUU
This 547-nucleotide ribosomal RNA is filed under the name uncultured bacterium. RNAcentral describes it as "partial 16S ribosomal RNA". It matches the Rfam family "Bacterial small subunit ribosomal RNA", at positions 355 to 895 of the family's 1533-position model. The record is from RNAcentral.